AAACUGAAGAGUUUGAUCAUGGCUCAGAUUGAACGCUGGCGGUAUGCUUAACACAUGCAAGUCGAACGGUAGCAGGCCUUCGGGCGCUGACGAGUGGCGGACGGGUGAGUAACGCGUAGGAAUCUGCCUAUUAGUGGGGGACAACGUGGGGAAACUCACGCUAAUACCGCAUACGCCCUACGGGGGAAAGGAGGGGACCUUCGGGCCUUUCGCUAAUAGAUGAGCCUGCGUUGGAUUAGCUAGUUGGUAGGGUAAAGGCCUACCAAGGCGACGAUCCAUAGCUGGUCUGAGAGGACGAUCAGCCACACUGGGACUGAGACACGGCCCAGACUCCUACGGGAGGCAGCAGUGGGGAUUAUUGGACAAUGGGCGAAAG
RNAcentral lists this ribosomal RNA (376 nucleotides) under Methylococcaceae bacterium. Its description in RNAcentral is "bacterial SSU rRNA". It matches the Rfam family "Bacterial small subunit ribosomal RNA", at positions 1 to 381 of the family's 1533-position model. The record is from RNAcentral. Lineage: Bacteria; Pseudomonadati; Pseudomonadota; Gammaproteobacteria; Methylococcales; Methylococcaceae.